AGAGUUUGAUCCUGGCUCAGAUUGAACGCUGGCGGCAGGCCUAACACAUGCAAGUCGAGCGGUAACAGGAAGUAGCUUGCUACUUCGCUGACGAGCGGCGGACGGGUGAGUAAUGCCUGGGAAUAUGCCUUGAUGUGGGGGAUAACUAUUGGAAACGAUAGCUAAUACCGCAUAAUGCCUACGGGCCAAAGAGGGGGAUCUUCGGACCUCUCGCGUCAAGAUUAGCCCAGGUGGGAUUAGCUAGUUGGUGGGGUAAAGGCUCACCAAGGCGACGAUCCCUAGCUGGUCUGAGAGGAUGAUCAGCCACACUGGAACUGAGACACGGUCCAGACUCCUACGGGAGGCAGCAGUGGGGAAUAUUGCACAAUGGGGGAAACCCUGAUGCAGCCAUGCCGCGUGUAUGAAGAAGGCCUUCGGGUUGUAAAGUACUUUCAGCAGUGAGGAAGGUGGUAGUGUUAAUAGCACUAUCAUUUGACGUUAGCUGCAGAAGAAGCACCGGCUAACUCCGUGCCAGCAGCCGCGGUAAU
RNAcentral lists this ribosomal RNA (527 nucleotides) under uncultured bacterium. RNAcentral describes it as "bacterial SSU rRNA". It matches the Rfam family "Bacterial small subunit ribosomal RNA", at positions 8 to 524 of the family's 1533-position model. The record is from RNAcentral.